ACGCUCGACACCUACGGGAGGCAGCAGGUGGGAAUAUUGCACAAGUACGGGGGAAACCCGUGAUGCAGCGACCGCCGCGUGGGAAGGAAAGGAAGGUCGUUCGGAUUAGUAAACCUCCUUGUUGGUUAGGGGAAAAAGAGGAGUCGGUAACCCAAACGAAGGAAGUGACGGACUAACUACGUGCCAACAGCCGCGGUAAUCUGGAGCGGGGCUGGCAAGGC
Molecule: ribosomal RNA, 221 nt
Filed under: uncultured bacterium
Lineage: Bacteria
Description: partial 16S ribosomal RNA
Rfam family: Bacterial small subunit ribosomal RNA
Source: RNAcentral